Molecule: non-coding RNA, 69 nt
Organism: Trichonephila clavata
Lineage: Eukaryota; Metazoa; Arthropoda; Arachnida; Araneae; Nephilidae
Source: the annotation of a GenBank genome assembly
GCAAGUAUAGUGGAUAUGACUCUCGACUUGUAACCGAGUAGGCUCGAGUUCGAAUCCCGAAUGGAUGCA